GUAACGCGUGGAAACGUGCCUUUCACUACGGAAUAGCUCCGGGAAACUGGAAUUAAUACCGUAUACGCCCUCCGGGGGAAAGAUUUAUCGGUGAAAGAUCGGUCCGCGUUAGAUUAGAUAGUUGGUGGGGUAAUGGCCUACCAAGUCUACGAUCUAUAGCUGGUCUGAGAGGAUGAUCAGCCACACUGGGACUGAGACACGGCCCAGACUCCUACGGGAGGCAGCAGUGGGGAAUAUUGCACAAUGGGCGAAAGCCUGAUGCAGCCAUGCCGCGUGAAUGAUGAAGGCCUUAGGGUUGUAAAAUUCUUUCGCUAGGGACGAUAAUGACGGUACCUAGUAAAGAAGCCCCGGCUAACUUCGUGCCAGCAGCCGCGGUAAUACGAAGGGGGCUAGCGUUGUUCGGAAUUACUGGGCGUAAAGCGCGCGUAGGCGGACUAACAAGUUGGAUGUGAAAUCCCAGGGCUCAACUCUGGAACUGCAUUCAAAACUGUUAGUCUAGAGGCCAGGAGAGGUCAGUGGAAUACCGAGUGUAGAGGUGAAAUUCGUAGAUAUUCGGUGGAACACCAGUGGCGAAGGCGACUGACUGGACUGGUACUGACGCUGAGGUGCGAAAGUGUGGGGAGCAAACAGGAUUAGAUACCCUGGUAGUCC
RNAcentral lists this ribosomal RNA (651 nucleotides) under Ponticaulis koreensis. RNAcentral describes it as "bacterial SSU rRNA". It matches the Rfam family "Bacterial small subunit ribosomal RNA", at positions 110 to 796 of the family's 1533-position model. The record is from RNAcentral. Lineage: Bacteria; Pseudomonadati; Pseudomonadota; Alphaproteobacteria; Hyphomonadales; Hyphomonadaceae.